UACGUAGGGGGCUAGCGUUGUCCGGAAUCAUUGGGCGUAAAGAGCGUGUAGGCGGCCCGAUAAGUCCGCUGUGAAAGUCCAGGGCUCAACCCUGGGAUGCCGGUGGAUACUGUCGGGCUCGAGUCCGGAAGAGGAGUGUGGAAUUCCUGGUGUAGCGGUGAAAUGCGCAGAUAUCAGGAGGAACACCAAUGGCGAAGGCAGCACUCUGGGACGUGGCUGACGCUGAGACGCGAAAGCGUGGGGAGCAAACAGG
Molecule: ribosomal RNA, 253 nt
Filed under: uncultured bacterium
Lineage: Bacteria
Description: partial 16S ribosomal RNA
Rfam family: Bacterial small subunit ribosomal RNA
Source: RNAcentral